AAGGGAGACCUAAUUCCGGUAGGAGACGAAAAAAAAGUAGUCCCAACCAAGAAUCAAUCCCAAAAGGUCGGAACGAGGUAUGAGGCUUUCAAACUAGGUUCUGGGUUCAUAAAAGACCUGAAUCAGGGACAAGGGCUAUUAGCUCAGGUGGUUAGAGCGCACCCCUGAUAAGGGUGAGGUCCCUGGUUCGAGUCCAGGAUGGCCCACCUGCACAGGUGGCAAAAACAAGAGAAGCUCCGAAUCAGCACCUUAUCUUAUAUACAUAUAUAAGAGAGAAUGCUGGCUCUGAGUACAGAGUCCAGAGGAACCUUGAAAACUGCAUAGAGCUAGGUGAAAAAGCCAAAAAAGAAGACCGCAA
RNAcentral lists this transfer RNA (358 nucleotides) under uncultured Microcystis sp. Its description in RNAcentral is "partial 16S-23S ribosomal RNA intergenic spacer". The stretch from base 133 to 206 matches the Rfam family "tRNA". The record is from RNAcentral. Lineage: Bacteria; Bacillati; Cyanobacteriota; Cyanophyceae; Chroococcales; Microcystaceae.